This 490-nucleotide ribosomal RNA is filed under the name uncultured bacterium. RNAcentral describes it as "partial 16S ribosomal RNA". It matches the Rfam family "Bacterial small subunit ribosomal RNA", at positions 30 to 507 of the family's 1533-position model. The record is from RNAcentral.
AUUGAACGCUGGCGGCAGGCCUAACACAUGCAAGUCGAACGGUAACAGGAAGAAGCUUGCUUCUUUGCUGACGAGUGGCGGACGGGUGAGUAAUGUCUGGGAAACUGCCUGAUGGAGGGGGAUAACUACUGGAAACGGAAGCUAAUACCGCAUAACGUCGCAAGACCAAAGAGGGGGACCUUCGGGCCUCUUGCCAUCGGAUGUGCCCCGAUGGGAUUAGCUAGUAGGUGGGGUAACGGCUCACCUAGGCGACGAUCCCUAGCUGGUCUGAGAGGGUGACCAGCCACACUGGAACUGAGACACGGUCCAGACUCCUACGGGAGGCAGCAGUGGGGAAUAUUGCACAAUGGGCGCAAGCCUGAUGCAGCCAUGCCGCGUGUAUGAAGAAGGCCUUCGGGUUGUAAAGUACUUUCAGCGGGGAGGAAGGGAGUAAAGUUAAUACCUUUGCUCAUUGACGUUACCCGCAGAAGAAGCACCGGCUAACUACGUG